RNAcentral lists this ribosomal RNA (256 nucleotides) under uncultured bacterium. Its description in RNAcentral is "partial 16S ribosomal RNA". It matches the Rfam family "Bacterial small subunit ribosomal RNA", at positions 524 to 776 of the family's 1533-position model. The record is from RNAcentral.
UACGUAGGGUGCAAGCGUUGUCCGGAAUUAUUGGGCGUAAAGAGCUCGUAGGCGGUCUGUCACGUCGGCUGUGAAAACCCGAGGCUCAACCUCGGGCCUGCAGUCGAUACGGGCAAACUAGAGUACUGCAGGGGAGACUGGAAUUCCUGGUGUAGCGGUGAAAUGCGCAGAUAUCAGGAGGAACACCCGGUGGCGAAGGCGGGUCUCUGGGCCGGAUACUGACGCUGGAGGAGCGAAAGCGUGGGGAGCGAACAGG